GCCUAACACAUGCAAGUCGAACGGAGAUAUGAUUUCGGUUAUAUCUUAGUGGCGAACGGGUGAGUAACGCGUGAGCAACCUGACCUUCAGAGGGGGAUAACACUUGGAAACAGGUGCUAAUACCGCAUAAGACCACGACCCGACAUCGGGAUGCGGUCAAAGGAGCAAUCCGCUGAGGGAGGGGCUCGCGUCCCAUUAGAUAGAUGGCGGGUAACGGCCCACCAUGUCGACGAUGGGUAGCCGAGCUGAGAGGCUGAUCGGCCACACUGGAACUGAGACACGGUCCAGACUCCUACGGGAGGCAGCAGUGGGGAAUAUUGGGCAAUGGGCGCAAGCCUGACCCAGCAACGCCGCGUGAGGGAAGAAGGCCUUCGGGUUGUAAACCUCUGUCCUUGGUGACGAAACAAAUGACGGUAGCCAAGGAGGAAGCCCCGGCUAACUACGUG
RNAcentral lists this ribosomal RNA (446 nucleotides) under uncultured bacterium. Its description in RNAcentral is "bacterial SSU rRNA". It matches the Rfam family "Bacterial small subunit ribosomal RNA", at positions 46 to 507 of the family's 1533-position model. The record is from RNAcentral.